CCCCAGGUCAGGCGGGGCUACCCGCUGAGUUUAAACAUAUCAAUAAGC
RNAcentral lists this ribosomal RNA (48 nucleotides) under Hoya bilobata. Its description in RNAcentral is "partial 26S ribosomal RNA". Lineage: Eukaryota; Viridiplantae; Streptophyta; Magnoliopsida; Gentianales; Apocynaceae. The record is from RNAcentral.